This 73-nucleotide transfer RNA is filed under the name Clostridia bacterium. RNAcentral's name for it is "tRNA-His". It matches the Rfam family "tRNA". From Rfam's summary of the family: Transfer RNA (tRNA) molecules are approximately 80 nucleotides in length. The record is from RNAcentral. Lineage: Bacteria; Bacillati; Bacillota; Clostridia.
GUGCUUAUGGUGUCAAUGGUUAGCAUGUCAGAUUGUGGUUCUGAAAGUAUCGGUUCGAAUCCGUUUAAGCACC